CGCCUCUUGAACCCUUAUAAGAGGUCCAGCCUGCCCAGUGACUCUGUUCAACGGCCGCGGUAUCCUAACCGUGCGAAGGUAGCGUAAUCACUUGUUCUUUAAAUGUGGACUAGUAUGAAUGGCAUCACGAAGGUUAUACUGUCUCCUUUUUCUAAUCAGUGAAACUAAUCUCCCCGUGAAGAAGCGAGGAUAAAACUAUAAGACGAGAAGACCCUAUGGAGCUUUAAACAUUUAUAACACUUGCUAAAUAAAAUACAAAUUUCAGAAUUAUUUACUCUUUAAGCAACUUGUCUAUAAGUUUUUGGUUGGGGUGACCGCGGAGCAUAAUACAACCUCCAUGUUGAAAGAUCUAUUUCUAAGCUAAGAGCUACACCUCUAAGCAUCAACAUAUUGACAUCCAUUGACCCAAUAUAUUUGAACAACGAACCAAGUUACCCUAGGGAUAACAGCGCAAUCCACUUCAAGAGCUCCUAUCGACAAGUGGGUUUACGACCUCGAUGUUGGAUCAGGGUUNCCCAGUGGUGCAGCCGCUACUAAAG
The sequence is a ribosomal RNA, 539 nucleotides long. It matches the Rfam family "Bacterial large subunit ribosomal RNA", at positions 1832 to 2570 of the family's 2925-position model.